RNAcentral lists this long non-coding RNA (1746 nucleotides) under Nicotiana tabacum (common tobacco). RNAcentral describes it as "long non-coding RNA (NTAB_LNC014461)". The record is from RNAcentral. Lineage: Eukaryota; Viridiplantae; Streptophyta; Magnoliopsida; Solanales; Solanaceae.
UGCCGAGUUUCGCUAAGUCAAAUGCACGUGAUGGAAAUAAAGCGAACCUACUAGGGAUAUCUGGCAUGAGGCUUGUUCUUCUAGGUUUAGAUCCUAUUGGAGAAGGUAUCUAGACUGGCUUACUCGAGCGGACAACUCGAGCCGAGGAGGGUCAGUGUACUGGUAGCAUUGCUUUCCGGCUUAACUGGUGGUGCUCCCCGCCAAAAACAGGUGUGACUAAAAUCCUUCACCGGGUGACGAACACCUCGGCUAUCUCAAAGAAAGCGGGCUAUGUCAAGCAAAUGCCUAAUUUUUAAUUUCAAAAAGACUCAGAGGGGGAAACCAGUUUAUAUUUACAAUUCAACAAUAUCAAAAUGAUAAAAAGCGAACAGGUAGCACAUUAGACACAAAUAAAUCACAAUAUUUACAAAAUUAAUAAAGCCAAAUAAAAAGUCAACAUGUACAAGCUCGAAUUCUUAUUGUUUCCCCAGCACAGUCGCCAGAGCUGUCACACCCCUUUUUACCCCUCCAAGAGAUAAGUGUGCAAAAUAUAACGGAUUGUGGGUUAAAGAGCUUUACCAAUUAAAGUGGCAAAAUUUGAAUAGGGAUUAUUUUAUUGUUCAGAGUCGUCACUUAGAAUUGAUUUUUUUUGGUGUUCCAAGUCAACAUUUAUUUGGAUCCCUAGUCAAAGGAAGGUUUGACUUUACUUUAAUCGGUCCGCGAAAAUAAAGUUCGGAUAAGGAAUUCUGUAAACUUGGGAGAAGGUAUAAGGCAUUCCCCGAGUCCCGUGGUUCUAGCACGGUCGCUUUAUUGACUAUAUUUGGCUUAUAUUAUUUAAUUACUCAUUUUAGGACCUAUGUUUAUUUUAUAUUUUACCACUUUUAAUUACUUGAUUACAAAAUCUUGUAACGAGUCACGCGUACAUAUACUCUUUUAGUGCGUCAAAAUCUAUGUCACGCAUACGCAUACACAACUAAUGACACUUGAUUAUUACUAAGAUUGUUUGGUCAAAGUCACUUAAAGGAAUUACAAGUCUUAAGCCUCUUUUCAAUUAAGUCCAAAUCCUUAUUAGUCCAGUGCCGAUAAAUCCCACCGUCUCACCUAAUCUAAAUAUAUUUUAACAAAAUUGCUUAUGUUUUAAAAACGACAAACAUUUUUACAUAUGUUUAAUUCAUUAGAUCUACUGAUUCAGGGCAUUAAGUUGAUAAAAGACAAGAAAACAAACAAUCAUCACAUUUAAAAAAAAACUAAAAUAAACACAUGGCUAAAAGACAAAGAAACAAACAGCAUAUUAAAAAUUGAUGUAAAAAUAUACCUUGUAUUGAUUGAAUCCAAACUUUAAAAUUGCUGGUACUAAACAACCAAACCAAGAGCGACGACCACCACCGGGAACCUCCAAUGGAACAACAUUAUCGGAAGCACGAAAUUGACUGAAAGUGGAGAAGUGUCAGGGCUAUUUCAGGGGUAUUUUAGGCUUGGCUUUGGGUAGCAUUAGAGCUGAUUUUCGGGGUUGUUAGCAGCUGAUCUCUGCUGCUGUUUUAGCGCUGUUGCGACUGGUUUUUGGCUGAUUUUAGAGAUGUGUUAAUGGGCUGAAAAAGGAUGCUGGACAUGGACGAAUUUUUUGCUGGGUUUGAGGAUUGUUUCGCUGUCUUUUGGAGCUUGAAUUUCCAGCUGGUUUGGGUGAGUUUUGGGCGACUUUUGGCUGCCUUUUUGUUGCUUUUUUCAGCAAUCGCAGCAAAUUUCCCUGCUCUUUUUUUGGCCUCUGGG